RNAcentral lists this ribosomal RNA (497 nucleotides) under uncultured bacterium. RNAcentral's name for it is "partial 16S ribosomal RNA". It matches the Rfam family "Bacterial small subunit ribosomal RNA", at positions 28 to 507 of the family's 1533-position model. The record is from RNAcentral.
GAUGAACGCUGGCGGCGUGCCUAAUACAUGCAAGUCGAGCGAACAGACGAGGAGCUUGCUCCUCUGACGUUAGCGGCGGACGGGUGAGUAACACGUGGAUAACCUACCUAUAAGACUGGGAUAAUUUCGGGAAACCGGAGCUAAUACCGGAUAAUAUAUUGAACCGCAUGGUUCAAUAGUGAAAGACGGUUUUGCUGUCACUUAUAGAUGGAUCCGCGCCGCAUUAGCUAGUUGGUAAGGUAACGACUUACCAAGGCGACGAUGCGUAGCCGACCUGAGAGGGUGAACCGCCACACUGGAACUGAGACACGGUCCAGACUCCUACGGGAGACAGCAGUAGGGAAUCUUCCGCAAUGGGCGAAAGCCUAACGGAGCAACGCCGCGUGAGUGAUGAAGGUCUUCGGAUCGUAAAACUCUGUUAUUAGGGAAGAACAAAUGUGUAAGUAACUAUGCACGUCUUGACGGUACCUAAUCAGAAAGCCACGGCUAACUACGUG